This 229-nucleotide ribosomal RNA is filed under the name uncultured bacterium. Its description in RNAcentral is "partial 16S ribosomal RNA". It matches the Rfam family "Bacterial small subunit ribosomal RNA", at positions 118 to 347 of the family's 1533-position model. The record is from RNAcentral.
UGAGCAAUCUGUCCUUCACUUCGGGAUAACUCCGGGAAACCGGUGCUAAUAUCGAAUACGACCAUCGAUGGCAUCGUCUGGUGGUGGAAAGUUCCGGCGGUGAAGGAUGAGCUCGCGGCCUAUCAGCUUGUUGGUGGGGUAAUGGCUUACCAAGGCGACGACGGGUAGCCGGCCUGAGAGGGUGACCGGCCACACUGGGACUGAGACACGGCCCAGACUCCUACGGGAG